UAAGGAAUAUUGGUCAAUGGAGGCAACUCUGAACCAGCCAUGCCGCGUGCAGGAAGACUGCCCUAUGGGUUGUAAACUGCUUUUAUCCGGGAAUAAACCUUUCUACGUGUAGAAAGCUGAAUGUACCGGAAGAAUAAGGAUCGGCUAACUCCGUGCCAGCAGCCGCGGUAAUACGGAGGAUCCAAGCGUUAUCCGGAUUUAUUGGGUUUAAAGGGUGCGUAGGCGGCCUGUUAAGUCAGGGGUGAAAGACGGUAGCUCAACUAUCGCAGUGCCCUUGAUACUGAUGGGCUUGAAUGGACUAGAGGUAGGCGGAAUGAGACAAGUAGCGGUGAAAUGCAUAGAUAUGUCUCAGAACACCGAUUGCGAAGGCAGCUUACUAUGGUCUUAUUGACGCUGAGGCACGAAAGCGUGGGGAUCAAACA
Molecule: ribosomal RNA, 422 nt
Filed under: uncultured Pedobacter sp.
Lineage: Bacteria; Pseudomonadati; Bacteroidota; Sphingobacteriia; Sphingobacteriales; Sphingobacteriaceae
Description: bacterial SSU rRNA
Rfam family: Bacterial small subunit ribosomal RNA
Source: RNAcentral